RNAcentral lists this unclassified non-coding RNA (568 nucleotides) under Hevea brasiliensis (rubber tree). Lineage: Eukaryota; Viridiplantae; Streptophyta; Magnoliopsida; Malpighiales; Euphorbiaceae. The record is from RNAcentral.
AUUGUUCUUACAAGGAGUGAUGGAAGUGGUAUAAAGGGCAAAAAAUUAGAGGUACCUUCAGGGAAUCCUGGAAUGAGAAGAUUUCUUGCAAUAGAAAAUGUGGCAUCAACGAUAGAUGUAGAUAGGGAAGAAAUUUGAAAUAGUAGAUGGGAGACGAGGCAUUGUCAUGAUAGUGAAGGCCAAUCUUUAAUCAUCAUUCAGCUUAUUAAUUCAAAGAUUCGUUACAGGUAUAGUAGUCUGCAAGUCAGCUGUUAAGAAAUUUUGAACAAAGAGAAGAAUAUCAUUUACUCCAACGAUAUAGAAACCCCUCUUUUGCAGGAGCUUGAAAAGCUACUCUGCAAUUAAGCAUGGUGGAAACAAGAUUUCUUUCUUCAACACCAUAACGUCAUAUUUUCCAGAUACUCUACAGCUUAUGACUGGUAAAAAUGCUCUACGAGAAUGGCCCACAAUUGAGAAAUUACAGUGGUAGAAUGAAACGUAAAUACUAAUGCUAAACUGCAGAGAGCUGGGAGAGAUCUAUCAAUCAGCUAUAUGCCACUAGCUAGCUAUCUUUCUAAGAAUAAACCUA